This 1022-nucleotide ribosomal RNA is filed under the name Microbacterium paraoxydans. RNAcentral's name for it is "bacterial SSU rRNA". It matches the Rfam family "Bacterial small subunit ribosomal RNA", at positions 434 to 1465 of the family's 1533-position model. The record is from RNAcentral. Lineage: Bacteria; Bacillati; Actinomycetota; Actinomycetes; Micrococcales; Microbacteriaceae.
UUUUAGCAGGGAAGAAGCGAAAGUGACGGUACCUGCAGAAAAAGCGCCGGCUAACUACGUGCCAGCAGCCGCGGUAAUACGUAGGGCGCAAGCGUUAUCCGGAAUUAUUGGGCGUAAAGAGCUCGUAGGCGGUUUGUCGCGUCUGCUGUGAAAUCCCGAGGCUCAACCUCGGGCCUGCAGUGGGUACGGGCAGACUAGAGUGCGGUAGGGGAGAUUGGAAUUCCUGGUGUAGCGGUGGAAUGCGCAGAUAUCAGGAGGAACACCGAUGGCGAAGGCAGAUCUCUGGGCCGUAACUGACGCUGAGGAGCGAAAGGGUGGGGAGCAAACAGGCUUAGAUACCCUGGUAGUCCACCCCGUAAACGUUGGGAACUAGUUGUGGGGUCCAUUCCACGGAUUCCGUGACGCAGCUAACGCAUUAAGUUCCCCGCCUGGGGAGUACGGCCGCAAGGCUAAAACUCAAAGGAAUUGACGGGGACCCGCACAAGCGGCGGAGCAUGCGGAUUAAUUCGAUGCAACGCGAAGAACCUUACCAAGGCUUGACAUAUACGAGAACGGGCCAGAAAUGGUCAACUCUUUGGACACUCGUAAACAGGUGGUGCAUGGUUGUCGUCAGCUCGUGUCGUGAGAUGUUGGGUUAAGUCCCGCAACGAGCGCAACCCUCGUUCUAUGUUGCCAGCACGUAAUGGUGGGAACUCAUGGGAUACUGCCGGGGUCAACUCGGAGGAAGGUGGGGAUGACGUCAAAUCAUCAUGCCCCUUAUGUCUUGGGCUUCACGCAUGCUACAAUGGCCGGUACAAAGGGCUGCAAUACCGUGAGGUGGAGCGAAUCCCAAAAAGCCGGUCCCAGUUCGGAUUGAGGUCUGCAACUCGACCUCAUGAAGUCGGAGUCGCUAGUAAUCGCAGAUCAGCAACGCUGCGGUGAAUACGUUCCCGGGUCUUGUACACACCGCCCGUCAAGUCAUGAAAGUCGGUAACACCUGAAGCCGGUGGCCUAACCCUUGUGGAGGGAGCUGUCGAAGGUGG